GCAUGAGGACCUAUAAAUCCAGUCUGUGUUUAAACUUAAGCUAACUUUUAUUAUUGUGCUGAUAUUUAAAAAAAAUGUUGUGAUGGUAGUUAGGGUUUUGUUGGUAGACACUUAAAGUGAUAUAAAAUGUAAUGAUGGUAGUUAGGAUUUUGUUGGUAGUCAUAUAAAGUUAUUUUGUAGAUAUAUAGUGGGUUGAGCUGUCUCUGCCCCACAGUAAAGAACCCUUGUAAAGGCACAUGCACUCACCUGUGUCUGCUGAGGCCAGGAGGCUACACCUGCGCCUGCCCAGAGGGCACCAGCUUCUUCCCUGGCAGCAGUACUGAAUGUGACACAGGGUUUGAGCCUGAACCCACUAUGCCACCUCCAUGCCAGUGCAGGAACGGUGGAACCUGUUAUUUUGAUGACAAUAAGGCACUUUGCAUUUGCCCCCCCGAAUGGAACGGAGAUUUCUGCGAGACCAGUGUUUAUGGUGUAGUCACAACCUCAGUUGCUAUUGCCCUUGGAGUUACAACGUUUGUGGCUCUUUUCCUGGUUUGCCUUAUAUAUUCUGCAAAAAAGAAGGAGAAAAUUAUGAACACUCUGCAUAGCAUUAAUCUGCCUAUUAGUGUAUCUAACUUCAGUAGGCCCAGCUUCUGGUGAGAAUGAAAAAGUGUAUAAUAAAUAUUGGUGAAUA
This 673-nucleotide long non-coding RNA is filed under the name Carassius auratus (goldfish). Its description in RNAcentral is "lncRNA (ENSCARG00000044421.1)". Lineage: Eukaryota; Metazoa; Chordata; Actinopteri; Cypriniformes; Cyprinidae. The record is from RNAcentral.